GAUUAUGUAGAUUUUUAAAAUAUCUAGAUCUAUUUGUGUAUUAGAUCUAUUUUUUAUCAAUUUAUGCAUUAAAUCUAUUUUGAUUAUGUCGAAUUAUUAUUUCUAUUUCGAUUGUAUGGGACUUACAAGAUCCAUUUGAGUCUUCUCUUCUCAAACUAUUCGCUUACUCGUGGGUGAUGGAGAUUUUGCUCUAAUGAUUUACAAGAGGCAAAGUCAUUAUGUUCGGGCAUCGAUGGGUUAUCGUGGAAGUUUAUUAUUGAUAAUGACACUACGAAGGGCGAUAGCUUGCUAUGAUCGCUACAACUGUUGCGGGAUGCUACUAUAGUUGUCGAUACAAUAUGGUGCAAUGGCCCUUAUCAAGGAGUUGUAGAGGGUGGAGUGCAACAUCAAUGGGUUAUCACGGAAGAGGUGUGACGACAUAUGAUGGCUGAGUGUCAUGGUGCUGAUCUAUAUAACGAUUACAUAGUGGGUCACCACCGUGGUUCUCGAUAGCUGUAGGUUGUGAUCGAGAUUGUUGGAGUCACUAGAGGCCACUUGUUCCAUGUGAUAGGGUUUUAAUGUUGAUGGCAUCGUAGUGUUUGGGCUAUGGGAUGAGGCACGAUGGUGGCUUGUGGUGCUGUUUCUAGCAAUGACCAUCGAUGAUGGCGUAUGAGAACAGUUGUGGAUGGGCAUGGUAAAAUGUUGCGAUGAUCGUAGGGGCUACCGAUUAGCAGCACGAGGAUAAUCACACACCAUAGUGACCGUAAAAGUCACCGGUUGACCACGUGAGGAUGAUCGAAAGGUACUCAUAGUCGACGAACAACUAUGCAUCGCAAUGACCGUAGGUAUCACAUAGGCACUACAACAAUUAAGAAAAAAUUUAAGAGUUUUCACAUAUUAAAAAUUAUUUUGCCCUUGAUAUUUCUCCCCUUCAGAAAUCAAAUAUUUUCAAUAUAUCCC
RNAcentral lists this long non-coding RNA (939 nucleotides) under Musa acuminata (dwarf banana). RNAcentral's name for it is "long non-coding RNA (MACU_LNC006915)". Lineage: Eukaryota; Viridiplantae; Streptophyta; Magnoliopsida; Zingiberales; Musaceae. The record is from RNAcentral.